RNAcentral lists this long non-coding RNA (1809 nucleotides) under Chrysemys picta bellii (western painted turtle). RNAcentral describes it as "lncRNA (ENSCPBG00000016456.1)". Lineage: Eukaryota; Metazoa; Chordata; Testudines; Emydidae. The record is from RNAcentral.
GCUAAUGCACUAGACAUGCAAAUCAUACAAAGCUGAAAUCACAAAAAGCGUCAAGCAAAACUAUUUAUUGUCCUGCUUUUGCCUUUAGUAAGUGAUAUAUUUUGUGAUAAAAGAAUAGCUGAGAAUUCUAGUAUAUGACAAAAUGCUCUUUAAGUUUAAACAUAAACAUAACCAAGCCACCUGUAGUGGAAUCUAUUUUUGCUAGGAAUUGUGAAACAGUCUGUCACUUUUAAUAAAAUAACCAUGCUACUUCCAAAUCUUGGACAAUGGGAUAUUCCCUAGUAAGGCCAGAGUUCAGUAUGGGACUUUGUCUUUUAAUGGAAUAACUGUAGUUCCAGCAACAGCUUUGUAAUGUCUCACACAGCUGAACAGAAAGUUGGCAAAACCUAUUUUGACAUGAGUUACAGCCCUUGCUGGACAGUUCCCAUCCCAUGUGGGACAAAAUUGCCAGUGCAUUUUUUAAAGGAAAAAUCAUUCUUACUACAUCAACUGACACUUACUUCCUAGAAGGUUCAUCCUGAAAAAAUGGUGUCACUACUUGCCUUUUGGUGAAUUCCAAUAUGAUUCAGCAUUAGUUCAUCAGCGCUUCUGUUUAAGAUACAUUCAUUUUUUAAAGGUGAAGUUGAGCUUCAACUCCAGGAAUGAACUACAUUUAUCUAUUGUCUUUCCAUUUUUCCCAGGAGGCAGCUACCCAGUCCUUCCCCCAGCUUGCCUCAAACCUGCUGGAAGCUGAUCUUGUGGGUUUUCUACUCCAAAGGCAUUUGUGUACAUUUUCGUUACACAUCAGAGGUGAAAUCCUGCCCUACUGAAGCAAAUAGCAAAAUUCCUGUUGACUUAGGGCCUGGAUUCCAACCCAUGAGGGCUCCAUGGGGCCAGAAAGGUUGUCUUUUUAUUUUUUACUCCAUGUUUCUAUGGCACCUACGAGAAUGGGGCCCUUGACUAUGGUUUCGAAAUGGUACUGCAAUAAUAAUAAUGAUUAAUAAUUAAUAAUAAGAGUUUUCAGAUAAGGAACCUUCAAAUCAUUUGAGACUCACUCAUCCCAGUGUAACCCAGGUUCACACCUCGGGUUAGGCACUGUCCACAAAGUUAAAUAGAAACCACAACUGAGUGGUCAUCCGGAAAGAGUGAACUCCUUCCAGGGUGAGAGCUGCAUGACACUAGAAAAUUAUCUGCACACCAUCUAGAUUCCAAAACUGGGAUUAGCUCAUGGCUAGACUCUUCCACUAUAUAAUUAGAAUGUAUGCAUAUGCUUGGUUACACAGCCAGGAGAUGGUGAAAUAGGAGAGCGACUGGGUGGUUCAGUGUCUAUUAAAGCAGUGAGAAGCGGUGAAUACAUUAAUCUCUUGUAUCGGUAAAAUUGGCACAGCAAAGGUCAGUGGAUCAGAUUUCAUGCUCAGACAUGCUGAAGUGUCUGAAACAGGGAAGACCACAGGAACGGGAGUAACCACACAGGCAUGCAUCUUCCUAGUGGGAUAGCGUGUCAACUGCUAGAAAUGAUGACACAGAGAGGACAAAAUGAAUGUUCUAAUCAAAGAGUAAAUGUGCAAGCCACAUUUUCCACUUCUCAGUAAUUUGUUUCAUGUCGCUGUCACACUCUGGAAAGCGUCAGAAAGCGGCUGUGCUAACUUUGUUCGUCCUUGACACAGGACAAGGUAGGGCCUGUCCCUGCUCCCAGUAAGUGAAUGCCGUUGUAGUGGACACUUCAGGUAUCCUUAGAAGAAUACAGCCAAAGCAGCGUUGGGUUGGAUUUUCAAAACCGCUCAGCUCCCACUUAGACACCUAGAUGGUCAGAUUUCCAAAAGUGUUCUG